UGGGGAAUUUUGGACAAUGGGCGAAAGCCUGAUCCAGCAAUGCCGCGUGUGUGAAGAAGGCCUUCGGGUUGUAAAGCACUUUUGUCCGGAAAGAAAUCCUUGGCUCUAAUACAGUCGGGGGAUGACGGUACCGGAAGAAUAAGCACCGGCUAACUACGUGCCAGCAGCCGCGGUAAUACGUAGGGUGCAAGCGUUAAUCGGAAUUACUGGGCGUAAAGCGUGCGCAGGCGGUUUGCUAAGACCGAUGUGAAAUCCCCGGGCUCACCUGGGAACUGCAUUGGUGACUGGCAGGCUAGAGUAUGGCAGAGGGGGGUAGAAUUCCACGUGUGAGCAGUGAAAUGCGUAGAGAUGUGGAGGAAUACCGAUGGCGAAGGCAGCCCCCUGGGCCAAUACUGACGCUCAUGCACGAAAGCGU
Molecule: ribosomal RNA, 415 nt
Filed under: uncultured bacterium
Lineage: Bacteria
Description: partial 16S ribosomal RNA
Rfam family: Bacterial small subunit ribosomal RNA
Source: RNAcentral